UCUCCGUAGGUGAACCUGCGGAGGGAUCAUUACUGAGUGAGGGUCUCCGGGCCCGACCUCCAACCCUUUUGUGAACCAAACUUGUUGCUUCGGGGGCGACCCUGCCUUUCGGGCAGUGCGCCCCCGGAGGCCAUUAAACACUGCAUCAUUGCGUCGGAGUUAAAGUAAAUUAAACAAAACUUUCAACAACGGAUCUCUUGGUUCCAGCAUCGAUGAAGAACGCAGC
Molecule: unclassified non-coding RNA, 226 nt
Filed under: uncultured fungus
Lineage: Eukaryota; Fungi
Description: sequence contains ITS1, 5.8S rRNA gene
Rfam family: 5.8S ribosomal RNA (bases 178-226)
Source: RNAcentral